RNAcentral lists this long non-coding RNA (5776 nucleotides) under Olea europaea (common olive). RNAcentral describes it as "long non-coding RNA (OEUR_LNC000148)". The record is from RNAcentral. Lineage: Eukaryota; Viridiplantae; Streptophyta; Magnoliopsida; Lamiales; Oleaceae.
UAAGACCGAACUAACUUCGUCAGUUUUUAGAAUUCAUAUUUGUAAAGUUUGUCAGCUUGUGUUUUAAUUUUUCCAUAUUAGUUUUUUUGUAGUCCUAAGUUAUGAAUUAGCUACAUAUUUGCGCUGCACCUUUAGAUCCUGCUUGAGAUAAAGGAUAACAUUUGCAGCAAAAAUGGUCAGGACUAGUUCUUUUUUCAAAGGCCCGAUAUGUCAAAUUUUCAUAAAUCAGUGGCGGUGAUGAUGGACCUUUGCACACUCUAGUAACACGUAGAUCCACCUUUUCUAAAAGCUGAAUGUGUUAAAGAGAGGAGUUUAAAUUGUUUACAUUUAUAAUUUUGAACAAGGAUUGCUCGAUUUUUCCUGCUUUUAACACAGUUCUGGUAUGAAAUCGAUGCCUUCUGUCCACACCCUGGCUGGAACAACUACACAUAUAUUUUCCUCACUAAUGUAACUUAAUGAUUUGUGUUAUUUGGAUCUUGUCCUGACUUCAUUUUUUCAACAUAUCAUCUUUAUUAUCCUGUUUGAUCAUCAGGAUUCUGCAAAUGAAAUUUCAGCAGAGCUGCAUGGUGCCCCGGACCUAAUUAUAGGCAAUUACAGUGACGGGAAUCUUGUUGCAUCCCUUUUAGCUUAUAAGAUGGGGGUCACACAGGUGAAUAUUGAAGUUUUUUUCUGCCAUAAUUGAUUGCAUGAAAUAAUUUCCUGAUAAUUACUUUUUCCUUUCCUGAUUCAGUGCACCAUUGCACACGCCUUGGAGAAAACAAAGUACCCAGAUUCUGACAUAUAUUGGAAAAAAUUUGAGGACAAAUACCAUUUUUCAUGUCAAUUAGAAUCUCCAAAUAAGUUACCAUUUUUAGUAAAUUGCAAAUUAGGAAGCAUUGGAACAUUGCUUGGCUGAGGUCCCAACUUUCUUGUCUUAGUUAAUAAGUCAGUCACAUAUUUUCUCUGAGAUAAGAAGCCUUUCUUCUUGUCACCUUAACUCUCAAGAAAUACUUCAACACUCCUAAAUCUUUUGUGAUAAAUUGGGCGUGAAGAAAGGACUUAUUACUGCCAGUAAUAACAAUAUCAUCAACAUACACAACAAGAAAAUAAUGUCGUAUUCGGACUGUUUGUAGAAGACUGAGUGGUCAGACUUGCUCUUUUGCAUUUCAAACUUUUCUACUACCUAACUAAAUUUUCCAAACCAAGCACUUGGAUUCUGUUUCAAAUCAUAUAAAGACUUUCGAAGAUGACACUGUCCCAUACUUUCCUUGAGCAACAAAUUCAGGUGUUGGUUCCAUAUAAACUUCCUCCUGAAGAUCACCAUGUAAGAAAGCAUUUCUGAUGUCUAAUUGAUGUAAAUGCCAAUUAUAAGUAGCUGCCGUAGAAAUAAAUAAGCGAACAGAUGUUAAUUUAGCUACAGGAGAGAACGUGUUAGAAUAAUCCACACCAUAAGUCUGAGCAUUGCCUUUAGCCACAAGACGAGCUUUAAGCCUAGCUACUGAUUUAUUAGGAUUGAAUUUAACUGCAAACAUCCACUUACAUCCCAAGUACCAUUGGCAUCUACAACAUAUCUCCUCUAUCAUAGCAUCACGCUAACUAGUAUGAGAUAAGGCUUCAUGAACAGUUUUAAGAAUCACAGAGUCUAUAAAGGCAACAAAAGAACAAGAAGAAGAGGACAAGUGAUUAUAAAAAACAAAUGAUGAAAUAAGAUAAGUGCACUGCUGUUUACUUUUACGAAGAGCGAUAGGUAGAUCAAGAUCACUAGACACUGGAUCCAAUGCCGAAGAUGAGUUUGGUGCCGAACAUGCAUCAGGAGGGUUUCGUCGUAUGGAAUUCACCUGGUGAAUAGGUGAUGGUGGUGUGGGAGUAACAGGUGUAGAAGCAACAUUAUUUGACUGGUGACAUGAUAAAUCAGCAAAUCAUCAUCCUCCCCCUUACUGGAAGAAAUAUAAGUAGGAAAGAAAGGAAUAUAUUCUAGAAAUGUGACAUCAACUGACACAAGAUACUUGUUAAGACUCGGACAGUAGUAUCGGUACCCUUUUUGUUGACCCAGAAACACACUUUUUAAUGAUUUGGGAUCCAAUUUAGUUACAUGAGGAUGAACAUCACGAGCACAGCAAGUACUAUCAGAUAUUCUAGAUUCAAUGGAAAACAAAGGUUUAGUAGGGAAAAGGUAAGGAGUCUCGCCAAGAAGAACAAAUGAAGGCAUGCGAUUAAUCAAGAAAUAGGCUGUGGAGAGUGCAUUAGCCCAAAAUUGUUUAGGAAUAUGCAUUUGGAAGAGGAUUGCCUUGGCUGUUGCAAGGAGAUUUCUAUUUUUUCUUUCAGUCACACCAUUUUGUGAGGGUGUGUCAACACACGAAAAUUGAUGAGGAAUACCAUUUUGUAGCAUGUAAGACUGGAAAGAAUCGAAAAAAUAUUCUUUGGCAUUAUCACUUCUCAAUGUAGGUACCGAAACAUUAAGAUGUGUUUUAAUUUAAGCACAAAAGGUACUAAAAUGAGAAAAUAAUUUGGAACGAUUCUUCAUUAAAUAAAGUCAAGUCACACGAAAAAAUAUCAACAAAGGUAACAAAAUACCGAAAUUCAGUUUUGGACACAACAAGACAAGGACUCCAAACAUCUGAAUAAACUAGCUCAAAAGGAAAACUAGCUCUUUUAUUAAUUCGAGGAAUUGAGGACAGACGAUGUUUCGCAAAUCGACAUGACGCACAAUUUAAAGACGAUGCAUUCUGAAACUGAGGGCAUAAUUUCAUCAAUAACAAUAAAGAUGGAUGUUCCAAUCGACAAUGUGCUUCAAAAGGAGUUUUGAUACAAUGGACUUGGGCACCUAGGUAUCCAGAGUAUAGAGACAGAGACCGUCUGGUUCAUGUCGUUUACAAAUAAUUUUCUUCGUCAUAUGAUCCUGAAAACGACAGUAAUCAGGAAAAAAAUGAGAGACAACAGUUUAAGGUUCGAGUAAAUUUGCUCACAGACAUUAAAUUGAAAGAAAAUUGUAGUAGACUUAAUACAGAGGAUGAAAUUAACGAAGUUGGAUUAAUAGUGCCAGAACUGAGAACAAAAGAUGUAGAACCAUCAGCUAAAGUAACAUUGGAAGGACAUAGAUGCGACUGAAAAGUGGAGAAGAGAUUAGGAUGACCUGCUAUAUGAUUUGUGGCAACAUAAUCAAUGACCAAUUUUGAGGAAGAUGAGAGAAGACAUGUAUUAGGUUUAUCUGUCUCAGCAAGAGCAGAGAUACGGUGAGAUGAAUUAUUCAAUGCUUCUUGGUACUGAGUGAAUUUGGCAAAUUCAUCUAUAGAAACUAUAAUGGUCUGCCCAUAAGAUGAGAUGGGUAUAGCAGUAGUAGCUGCGAUAUGAGCAGAGUGAGACUUAUUGUACAAUUUUCGACACGAGUAUUUGGUAUGACCCGGCUCAUGAUAGUAGUAGCAUACAACUCUCCCUUCAUUCGGACUUUGAUUGACUCGACUACCUGUAUCCCCGCCUCUUGUAUUACCUUUACCACUGCGACUAAUAAGAGCACUAGAAGGCUGAACAGAUGAAGCAACAGAAGUACUAAUAUAUGUGUGAAGUGCUCUAGUAAAAGUUUCUUGCAAAGAUGAAAUCUCAACAUUGGAAAGAAUUUGGGAUUUAGCGGUUUCAAACUGAGGACUAAGGCCAGCUAGAAAACUCAUCACAACCAUUUGCUCCGGCUAAGCUUGGUGAACUUUCACAUCCGGACUAAAAGGUAACAAGACAUUCAAUUCUUCAUAGAUUUUUUUGAAAUUCAUAAAAUAAGCCUUGAGUGACUGUUGUUCAGCACGGUAAAAGCCCUUACAAAUUUCAUCAAUACGUGACAUUCCCUUUCUAGAGUACAUAAAUUCUAAAUAUUUCAUUAAUUCCUUAGCAUACUCACAAUGAUUAAUCAGACCGAUUAUCUCAGUGUCAAUGGAAUCACGGAUUUGUAAGAAUAAUCUGGCAUCAUCUCGUAGCCAUGUCUGGCUAUUAUUAUCCUUUUGUGGAUCUUUAAUAAGACGAUUGUCCAUAGAGAUACUCCGUAAAAAAAUUCGAACUGCCUUGCAUCAAUCUAAGUAAUUUGGACCAACCAACUUAUGCUCUGUAAUUUUAGACAUUACUGGAAUGACAUCAAUCACAACUAAAUUCUUUUCCUUGUCAUCCAUAGAAAAAAACACAAGAUCCAAAUAACAAAUUAAAAGAAACCAACAAAUAACGGGCCAAAUCAAUAGGCCCAAAAGAAACCACUACCUGAAAUCACGACCCUUCAAAUCCACAGAAGCCCAAAUCACCACACUAAUCACCAAUUGCCAACAACAAGAGAAACCCCGGCACCAAAUUUAUUAGGAUUCUAUAUUAGGUAAUUAUAUAAACUAGGAAUCUAUAUAAUUAAUCCCUAUAAUUAGGCCUUGCCUUAUUUAUAUCCCGUAACAACCAAAUACAUGUAAAUAUGGAAACAUAAUCUCCUAAAUUAGGAGAGCCAAUAAUUCUAUCUAACUAUGGAAAUAAUUAAAUAAGGCACAUCAAUCAUUCUAAAAUAAUCCCGAAUUGAUCAAUCAGUUUUCUACAGAAAUCAGUGAUGAAAGAUGGAACACCUCUUCAAAAACAUUUGAAAUGUAUCUUUCAUUGUUUGUUUGGUUUGUAAAUUUGAAUGUGAAAUGUCAUGAAAAAAUUGGUGUUUCUCUAACCAGUAAUGUAGCAUAAAGAACUAACAAGAUUUCUCCUUUUGCUUUUAUGCAGAUUGUAUACAUUCUAGAUCAAGUGCGUGCCUUGGAGAAUGAGAUGACCAUGAGAAUCAAGCAGCAAGGACUGGACAUUACUCCUAGAAUUCUUAUUGUAUACUUGAGAAACUUUAUAUUUGAUUUUUGUUAAUACUCAUAAAUAGGAUAAAAAUAGGAUAUUUUGUUUGGUAAUGUAGCCUUUUUUCCUGUUACUGUAAACAUGUUUUUCUGUGAUUCUGCAAGGUUACUCGAUUAAUCCCUGAUGCAAAAGGCACCACAUGCAACCAGAGGUUGGAAAGAGUUGGCGGGUGUAAAUACACACAUAUUCUGCGCAUUCCUUUUAGAACUGAGCUUGGAAUUCUCCGUAAAUGGAUUUCAAGGUUUGAUGUAUGGCCUUACUUGGAAAAAUUUGCAGAGGUAAGACCGAACUAACUUCGUCAGUUUUUAGAAUUCAUAUUUGUAAAGUUUGUCAGCUUGUGUUUUAAUUUUUCCAUAUUAGUUUUUUUGUAGUCCUAAGUUAUGAAUUAGCUACAUAUUUGCGCUGCACCUUUAGAUCCUGCUUGAGAUAAAGGAUAACAUUUGCAGCAAAAAUGGUCAGGACUAGUUCUUUUUUCAAAGGCCCGAUAUGUCAAAUUUUCAUAAAUCAGUGGCGGUGAUGAUGGACCUUUGCACACUCUAGUAACACGUAGAUCCACCUUUUCUAAAAGCUGAAUGUGUUAAAGAGAGGAGUUUAAAUUGUUUACAUUUAUAAUUUUGAACAAGGAUUGCUCGAUUUUUCCUGCUUUUAACACAGUUCUGGUAUGAAAUCGAUGCCUUCUGUCCACACCCUGGCUGGAACAACUACACAUAUAUUUUCCUCACUAAUGUAACUUAAUGAUUUGUGUUAUUUGGAUCUUGUCCUGACUUCAUUUUUUCAACAUAUCAUCUUUAUUAUCCUGUUUGAUCAUCAGGAUUCUGCAAAUGAAAUUUCAGCAGAGCUGCAUGGUGCCCCGGACCUAAUUAUAGGCAAUUACAGUGACGGGAAUCUUGUUGCAUCCCUUUUAGCUUAUAAGAUGGGGGUCACACAGGUGAAUAUUGAAGUUUUUUUCUGC